UACGUAGGGACCGAGCGUUGUCCGGAAUCAUUGGGCGUAAAGAGCGUGUAGGCGGCCCUUUAAGUCCUGCGUGAAAUCCUGCGGCUCAACCGCAGACGGUCGUGGGAAACUGGAGGGCUAGAGUGCGGGAGAGGAAAGUGGAAUUCCUGGUGUAGCGGUGAAAUGCGUAGAUAUCAGGAGGAACACCGGUGGUGUAAACGGCUUUCUGGACCGUAACUGACGCUGAUGCACGAAAGCGUGGGUAGCAAACAGG
This 253-nucleotide ribosomal RNA is filed under the name uncultured bacterium. RNAcentral's name for it is "partial 16S ribosomal RNA". It matches the Rfam family "Bacterial small subunit ribosomal RNA", at positions 524 to 776 of the family's 1533-position model. The record is from RNAcentral.